ACGGAGGGUGCAAGCGUUAUCCGGAAUCACUGGGUUUAAAGGGUGCGUAGGCGGCGCUAUAAGUCAGAGGUGAAAUCUUGCAGCUCAACUGUAAAAUUGCCUUUGAAACUGUAGUGCUUGAAUCACGUUGAGGUCAGCGGAAUGAGACAUGUAGCGGUGAAAUGCUUAGAUAUGUCUUAGAACACCAAUUGCGUAGGCAGCUGGCUAGGCGUGUAUUGACGCUGAGGCACGAAAGCGUGGGUAGCGAACAGG
Molecule: ribosomal RNA, 252 nt
Filed under: uncultured bacterium
Lineage: Bacteria
Description: partial 16S ribosomal RNA
Rfam family: Bacterial small subunit ribosomal RNA
Source: RNAcentral